Molecule: long non-coding RNA, 1114 nt
Organism: Helicoverpa armigera (cotton bollworm)
Lineage: Eukaryota; Metazoa; Arthropoda; Insecta; Lepidoptera; Noctuidae
Exons: 2
Source: RefSeq, a predicted model, not a curated record
UAUCCCGCACCGUAGGCAUCUAUCCUUGCUAGUAUUUUCAAGGUGGGGCAACUAUCCAUAGGGGUAGGCAUCUAUCCCCAAAAAUUGAGGUCUACAAAAAGCUAAAAUCUGCAAAACGUGUAGUAUAUAGGUCCAAAAAGACAAAUCACAAAUAAACAUAAAGGAUUAAACUAUUUACAUUCAUAGGUGUUAUUAAUGUAGAACCAAUAUUUAUUAAAUUAUAAGCAUAUUUGAAAAAGUGGGGCAUCUACCCUAAUAAUACUUGUAACGAGACGGCAAAGCCAUAGUACGUAUGCGACUGCCAGCGCCACCUACCAUGAUUGUGGAGAAUCUGCGAGCACCACACAGCGCCUACGCUUCACGCACACAGCGCCACCGAUGCCUACACUUGACGUACACGGGUCAAUCCGCGGAAAUUCAUUUAUGACAAAUAUAUGAUAAUAAUAAAUAAAAUAUCAUAUCUGCAUUGUUAAUUUACUUUAAAUGACAUUUCUUACAUAUUUUUACUUAAGGCUCCGCGCUCUUUAAUAAUUUACCACCUUUAUCUAAUCUAUUAUUUCAUUUAACACGCACCAAACGUCAAUCACCAUUUACGGAAAAAAGACAAGUAUUAAACUUCCUUAUUUAUUUAUCAAAAAAUGUCAAUGUAGUUUCCGUUUUUUUCCUCGUAUUUCGAAAGAACACAUUAUCUUAAGUAAUAUAAUAAACCAUCAAGUGAUUUAACAACAAAUAACAUAUAAUAAAAAAUAAUAUAAAUUUUGUCACAGAAAUUCGUCAACACCAUUCCGGCAUCGUCAAAGUUGUAUUUCUCGAACGUUCUUACUACCUACCGUGAUCGAGAACCCACGCCCACCUUCCCUCAGUCCCCUCAGUCUCACGCAGUGAAGCGGAGCGCACGUCAAUUUUACCGCUCAAAUUUUUCGACUAACAGUAGUUUGUGAACAGUGUGUCAGUUAUUUAUGUCAUCACCACUUCCACAGGAAAUCAGUUAAAUCAUGGACAGGAAAAAGAGUUCCAAGGAAAAUAAGCGGUUAGAGAAGCAAAAGAUUGCCAGAAGAAUAAGAUACGCUGAAAUUAAGGCAGAUCCAGUUCUCUACGAGCUAGGAAAAAAGAA